CCUACGGGCGGCUGCAGUGGGGAAUUGUUCGCAAUGGGCGCAAGCCUGACGACGCAACGCCGCGUGGAGGAUGAAGGUCUUCGGAUUGUAAACUCCUGUUGAUCGGGACGAAAGGCUUCGACCUAACACGUCGGAGAGUGACGGUACCGGUUGAGGAAGCCACGGCUAACUCUGUGCCAGCAGCCGCGGUAAUACAGAGGUGGCAAGCGUUGUUCGGAAUUACUGGGCGUAAAGGGCGCGUAGGCGGCCUCCUAAGUCGAACGUGAAAGCCCCAG
RNAcentral lists this ribosomal RNA (275 nucleotides) under uncultured bacterium. Its description in RNAcentral is "partial 16S ribosomal RNA". It matches the Rfam family "Bacterial small subunit ribosomal RNA", at positions 338 to 606 of the family's 1533-position model. The record is from RNAcentral.